Non-coding RNA from Malus domestica (apple), 1084 nucleotides. Lineage: Eukaryota; Viridiplantae; Streptophyta; Magnoliopsida; Rosales; Rosaceae. The record is from RefSeq and is a predicted model, not a curated record.
UCUGUGUUUUUCACUGCAAACUUUGGACAUCGAUCUGUUUUGUUGGUGGUUUGAUAUGUUUUGUGUUGUGUUUUUCAGUCAAUUGACUCAAUUCAUAUGAUUAAUUCCCAUGGUUUUCAUGCCAUAUUGGUUGAAUUUAUUAUAAUUUUAUUUGAUUUUGUUGCAGCGAUAUCCUCAUAUAAACAAGUGGAAGGUUUACAGGACAUUAACCAAUCAAUUGAGAUAUUAGGUCGUUUACUUUCUGCUGUCCCUGGUUGGAGUGAGAAAAUGUUUAGGUACUUUAUAGUUUUGAAUUUUUAGUUAGGAAGAUUUAACAAUACCUUUUUUUGUUUGCUUUACUUUGUUAUGUCUUGAUAAAUGCAGGUUCAGCAACAGGUUGCUGAAAUUAUCACUUAUAUAGCCUCCACUUGAAAAUAGUAGUACUUUUGGUUUAGAGCCUUGAAUUAUGCAUCCUAAACUGAUACUACAUAUUGAUUCGUUUGCAUUAUACUGGAUAUUUUGUUUUUUAAUAUCAGGUUUGGGUGCCCCUCUGAAUGUAGCUAAAUGAAAAAUUAUCCUCAGUUGCUGUUUAUUGGCCUCGCUGCUACUGAAGGUGUAAGAAUUUUUGGGGCGCGACUGAGUAUUGGGGUGGAUCGGUGGACUUGAAGCCCAAGAGGUUUGACGAAGCUAAGGAGAAGACCGAGACAUCAACCAGUGCAGAAGUUCCUGAUAAGACUAAUUGCAAAUAGCACUACAAAUGAGCACCACAAAUUUAAGCUUGAUGUUGGUAUGUGAUUUCCACUCCAUCUCAUUUUUUUUUAAUGUCAGUUUAAUUUUCAAACCUUUUGUACGUUUCAAGUAAUUCUUCACAUAAUUGAAUAAUGGCCGUUUUUUUUGUUUCUGUUUUCUCCCUCCAUCAAUUCAUUGGUUAAAUAGAUGCUUUGUAUAUAUAUGAAAACUUGGUUUUGAUAGGCAUCAAAAGUUUGGCCAUAAUAAUUUGUCAUUACAGUAAGAUUAAUGAUUUAAUGGGGUUGUGUUUAAUUUUUCUGGAGUUUAAAUUAAAGGGUUGAGCUUGAUGGCUUUACUCUUUUCUUUUGUCUUUCCU